Molecule: long non-coding RNA, 302 nt
Filed under: Carica papaya (papaya)
Lineage: Eukaryota; Viridiplantae; Streptophyta; Magnoliopsida; Brassicales; Caricaceae
Description: long non-coding RNA (CPAP_LNC000909)
Source: RNAcentral
UGAUGACAAAUGUGGUCGGGGAAGUACUCGACAUUAAACGCCUCUACUAAGUUCUCCUAUGUGAUGGGCGUGGGUAGAGUAGUCUGCUUAACUUCCCACCAGCGCUCUACUUCUCCCUAAAGCAUAAAGGUGGCGAGGAUAACCUUCUAUUCAUCAGUCACCCCCAAAGCCCUAAAAAACUUUUCAGUUGUUUUUAGCCAAUUCUCAGCUUUAUAGAAAGUCGAUGCUCCUAUAAAGGGGACUAAAUUCAGUCGCUUGUACCUCUUAACAUAACCUAGAUCUAUCGCUAAUAGAGCUGAGCC